RNAcentral lists this long non-coding RNA (1940 nucleotides) under Sorghum bicolor (sorghum). Its description in RNAcentral is "long non-coding RNA (SBIC_LNC016503)". Lineage: Eukaryota; Viridiplantae; Streptophyta; Magnoliopsida; Poales; Poaceae. The record is from RNAcentral.
GCCCUUUCGUCAUUUGACUAAGUGCUGCUUGCACUUGCCUUUGAAUCUCUGCCUGCAUCCAUUCUUCACGAGCUUUCUCGCGCUCUUGUGACUGCAGAACAAAAGCUUCCAGGCGGCGGAUUCGCUCUGCCUCCUCAUCCUUCUUUCUCUGGCGGCUUCUGUAGGUAUCUUGAUCGGCUUGGAAUGAUUGCAGCCACGGAACUGCCCCAUAGCCUCUCGUACGGCCACCGUGCUCAGGAUUUUCAAGCGCAUAGGUGAGUUCAUCCUUCUCCCUGUUAGGCCUGAACUCACCAGACUAAACCGUCUCUCGUGCACGGACUAGUCUCUCUGCUGCUCUAGAGAUUUCUUGGCCCCAAACUAGCGCCCCGGUGUCUGGGUCCACGCUUCCCCCAUGACCGUAGAACCAAUGCUUGGAGCGCUCGCUUCAAUUCUUUGCUAUUGUCUCGGGUGUGACCCCCCUAGCAAGCAUCUCCUGUUCCAUUCGGUCCCACUUGGGAACAGCACUCUUAUAACCACCUGAUCCCAUAUGAUGGUGGUAUGUCUUUUUACUGGCAUUCUCUUUGUUUCUAUUGGCUCGUUCCUCGCCCUCUUCUGAAGUUUUGUACUGCACAAAGUCAUCCCAGAAGGCCCUCAGCUUUACAUAUUGCUUGAGGUUGAAAUUUGGAGUCUCGUUUUUUUUGACAUAUUUAUUGUACAAAGUCUUCUUCCAAUUCUGGAAGAGUACUGCCAUCUUCUUCAUAGUCCAGUCAUAAAUUCGCACCUUCAACUCUUCAUCGUUGGUGUCGAAGGUGAAAACGUCUGUGACGGCUUUCCAAACUAACUCCUUGUCACGAUCAGAGACAAAACUGAUCUCAAGAGCACCUCGCUUCUCUCUCCAUUCACGAGCACUGAUCGGUAUUUGAUCUCUCACAAGAUAUCCACAGUGACUAACAUAUUUAUUUGCAUGCUCACCAAGUGGUCUACCUGUAGCUAUCUCAAACUCAGAGAUUACAUAGCGGCCCUCCAACGGCUUCUUUGGCCCUCGUGGAGGUACGCUUCUCCCCGUAGAGGUCGAUCCAGAAGGCUACACGUAGAUAUAGAAACAAAAAUAUUAAAUUAAUAACCAAGUAAUAAGUCCAAAACCUAAUGUAAGAGAUGCAUUAAUUAUAUAUGUUUACAUUUACAUAUACCUCGCCAGUAUUUUCUUCUUGUUGCACGACAAGUUGUUGCUCAGGCGCAUUGCCCUCUUGUUGCUCAGUCGGAUUGCCUUGCAUGAUCUCGUGGUAAUCAAUAAAGUACUGACUACCGUCGUCGAUCAUAUUUUGAAUGGUAGCUUCCAUAUAAUCAGGAUCAUCAUGAGGACGGUCAGCCAUUUCUAUGUCUGCAACCAUACAUAUAUAUAUUCUAUAUAAGAUAAGAAAUACACUAGAAUAAUAGUACAAACAAUAAUAUAUACAAAACACUACUAGAAUAAAUUUGGUGGGUAAACACUACUAGAAUAUAUAUUAGAGACUUAUAUACUACUACUAGUACUACUACAAAUGAAAGUGUUGGAGUGCUCUAAAAAUAAUACUAGAAUCUUUUAAGCCAAGUAACACAUUAGAAUAAAAAACAAUACUAAAAUAAUAUAGUACAAACAAUAAUAUAUACAAAACCCUACUAGAAUAAAUUUGGUGGCUAAACACUACUAGAAUAUAUAUUAGAGACUUAUAUACUACUACUAGUACUACUACAAAUGAAAGUGUUGGAGUGCUCUAAAAAUAAUACUAGAAUCUUUUAAGCCAAGUAAUACACUAGAAUAAAAAACAAUACUAGAAUAAUAUAGUACAACAAUAAUAUAUACAAAACACUAGAAAAUAAAAUAUGAUACUAUAAAUAAUAUACAACAAAUAUAUACUAAAAAAUACUACUACAAAUAAUAUAUUAAAAAAAUAAUACAUACAUACAUACAUAAAAAAAAA